This 259-nucleotide ribosomal RNA is filed under the name uncultured archaeon. Its description in RNAcentral is "partial 16S ribosomal RNA". It matches the Rfam family "Archaeal small subunit ribosomal RNA", at positions 748 to 1013 of the family's 1478-position model. The record is from RNAcentral.
UAGCCGUAAACGAUACUCGCUAGGUGUCGGCCACGGUGCGACCGUUGCCGGUGCCGUAGGGAAGCCGUGAAGCGAGCCACCUGGGAAGUACGGCCGCAAGGCUGAAACUUAAAGGAAUUGGCGGGGAGCACAACAACGGGUGGAGCUUGCGGUUUAAUUGGAUUCAACGCCGGAAAUCUUACCGGGACCGACAGCAACAUGAAGGCCAAGCUGAAGACUUUGCCGGAUUAGCUGAGAGGAGGUGCAUGGCGUAGUCGUG